GAUGAACGCUGGCGGCGUGCCUAAUACAUGCAAGUCGAGCGAACAGACGAGGAGCUUGCUCCUCUGACGUUAGCGGCGGACGGGUGAGUAACACGUGGAUAACCUACCUAUAAGACUGGGAUAACUUCGGGAAACCGGAGCUAAUACCGGAUAACAUGUUGAACCGCAUGGUUUAACAGUGAAAGACGGUCUUGCUGUCACUUAUAGAUGGAUCCGCGCCGCAUUAGCUAGUUGGUAAGGUAACGGCUUACCAAGGCAACGAUGCGUAGCCGACCUGAGAGGGUGAUCGGCCACACUGGAACUGAGACACGGUCCAGACUCCUACGGGAGGCAGCAGUAGGGAAUCUUCCGCAAUGGGCGAAAGCCUGACGGAGCAACGCCGCGUGAGUGAAGAAGGUCUUCGGAUCGUACAACUCUGUUAUUAGGGAAGAACAAAUGUGUAAGUAACUAUGCACGUCUUGACGGUACCUAAUCAGAAAGCCACGGCUAACUACGUG
Molecule: ribosomal RNA, 497 nt
Filed under: uncultured bacterium
Lineage: Bacteria
Description: partial 16S ribosomal RNA
Rfam family: Bacterial small subunit ribosomal RNA
Source: RNAcentral